Brachypodium distachyon (stiff brome) is the source of this 339-nucleotide non-coding RNA. The record is from RefSeq and is marked provisional. NCBI's taxonomy places the organism in Eukaryota, Viridiplantae, Streptophyta, Magnoliopsida, Poales, Poaceae.
UUUCCUGAUCGAGAACCGAGCUUAGCUUGGGUGGUUAGCCCAGCGAGGUAUGUUGGCUGCCCACCAGGGUUCGAUCCAACAAGGUCGCAUUCUAUAUAAAUAAUUUUCGUAAGGUGAGGCACCAAAAUGCAAUCCAAUCACGCCUCUCCUACAAUAUAUAUCUAUAAUUUUGUAAGGUGAGGCACCAGAAUGCGACCCAAUCACGCCUCUACUACAAUAUGUAUAUAAUUUUCGUAAGGUGAGGCGCCAGAAUGUGACCUUGUGGGAUCGGACCCUGGUGUGCAGCCAGCAUACCUCGCUGGGCUAACCUAACACCCAAGCUGAGCUCAGUUCUCUUCU